RNAcentral lists this ribosomal RNA (515 nucleotides) under uncultured bacterium. RNAcentral's name for it is "partial 16S ribosomal RNA". It matches the Rfam family "Bacterial small subunit ribosomal RNA", at positions 355 to 883 of the family's 1533-position model. The record is from RNAcentral.
UGGGGAAUAUUGCGCAAUGGGGGGAACCCUGACGCAGCAACGCCGCGUGAAGGAUGAAGGCUUUCGGGUUGUAAACUUCUUUGAUGAGGGACGAAAGAAAUGACGGUACCUCAAAAACAAGCCACGGCUAACUACGUGCCAGCAGCCGCGGUAAUACGUAGGUGGCGAGCGUUGUCCGGAAUUACUGGGUGUAAAGGGCGUGUAGGCGGGGAUGCAAGUCAGAUGUGAAAUGCCGGGGCUUAACUCCGGAGCUGCAUCUGAAACUGUGUUUCUUGAGUGUCGGAGAGGAAAGCGGAAUUCCCAGUGUAGCGGUGAAAUGCGUAGAUAUUGGGAGGAACACCAGUGGCGAAGGCGGCUUUCUGGACGAUAACUGACGCUGAGGCGCGAAAGCGUGGGGAGCAAACAGGAUUAGAUACCCUGGUAGUCCACGCUGUAAACGAUGGAUACUAGGUGUAGGAGGUAUCGACCCCUUCUGUGCCGGAGUUAACACAAUAAGUAUCCCACCUGGGGAGUAC